GACGAACGCUGGCGGCGUGCUUAACACAUGCAAGUCGUACGGUAAGGCCCUUUCGGGGGUACACGAGUGGCGAACGGGUGAGUAACACGUGAGUAACCUGCCCACAACUUUGGGAUAACGCUAGGAAACUGGUGCUAAUACUGGAUAUGUGCUCCUGCUGCAUGGUGGGGGUUGGAAAGCUCCGGCGGUUGUGGAUGGACUCGCGGCCUAUCAGCUUGUUGGUGGGGUAGUGGCCUACCAAGGCGGCGACGGGUAGCCGGCCUGAGAGGGUGACCGGCCACAUUGGGACCGAGAUACGGCCCAGGCUCCUACGGGAGGCAGCAGUGGGGAAUAUUGCACCAUGGGCGCAAGCCUGAUGCAGCAACGCCGCGUGCGGGAUGACGGCCUUCGGGUUGUAAACCGCUUUCAGCAGGGACGAAGCUUUUUGUGACGGUACCUGCAGAAGAAGCACCGGCUAACUACGUG
This 465-nucleotide ribosomal RNA is filed under the name uncultured bacterium. RNAcentral's name for it is "partial 16S ribosomal RNA". It matches the Rfam family "Bacterial small subunit ribosomal RNA", at positions 28 to 507 of the family's 1533-position model. The record is from RNAcentral.